AGAGUUUGAUCAUGGCUCAGAGCGAACGCUGGCGGCAGGCCUAACACAUGCAAGUCGAGCGCCUUCUUCGGAAGGAGCGGCGGACGGGUGAGUAACACGUGGGAACGUGCCCUUCGGUUCGGGAUAACUCAGGGAAACUUGAGCUAACACCGGAUACGCCCCUCGGGGGAAAGGUUACGCCGAAGGAGCGGCCCGCGUCUGAUUAGCUAGUUGGUGAGGUAAAGGCUCACCAAGGCUACGAUCAGUAGCUGGUCUGAGAGGAUGAUCAGCCACACUGGGACUGAGACACGGCCCAGACUCCUACGGGAGGCAGCAGUGGGGAAUCUUGCGCAAUGGGCGAAAGCCUGACGCAGCCAUGCCGCGUGAAUGAUGAAGGUCUUAGGAUUGUAAAAUUCUUUCAGCGGGGACGAUAAUGACGGUACCCGCAGAAGAAGCCCCGGCUAACUUCGUGCCAGCCGCCGCGGUAAUUC
Molecule: ribosomal RNA, 470 nt
Filed under: uncultured bacterium
Lineage: Bacteria
Description: bacterial SSU rRNA
Rfam family: Bacterial small subunit ribosomal RNA
Source: RNAcentral